CCUACGGGAGACAGCAGUGAGGAAUAUUGGUCAAUGGACGAGAGUCUGAACCAGCCAAGUAGCGUGAAGGAUGACUGCCCUAUGGGUUGUAAACUUCUUUUAUAUGGGAAUAAAAUGUUCCACGUGUGGGAUUUUGUAUGUACCAUAUGAAUAAGGAUCGGCUAACUCCGUGCCAGCAGCCGCGGUAAUACGGAGGAUCCGAGCGUUAUCCGGAUUUAUUGGGUUUAAAGGGAGCGUAGGUGGAUUGUUAAGUCAGUUGUGAAAGUUUGCGGCUCAACCGUAAAAUUGCAGUUGAAACUGGCAGUCUUGAGUACAGUAGAGGUGGGCGGAAUUCGUGGUGUAGCGGUGAAAUGCUUAGAUAUCACGAAGAACUCCGAUUGCGAAGGCAGUUCACUGGACUGCAACUGACACUGAGGCUCGAAAGUGUGGGUAUCAAACAGGAUUAGAUACCCGGGUAGUG
Molecule: ribosomal RNA, 460 nt
Filed under: uncultured bacterium
Lineage: Bacteria
Description: partial 16S ribosomal RNA
Rfam family: Bacterial small subunit ribosomal RNA
Source: RNAcentral